CCAACUCCCCUCUGUUCUCCCUCCUCCUCUUCCCCUCAGCUCCCCUCCCUCUCAGUUCCAUCAGCUUCCCUCCUGCUCUUCUAGUCUACUUUCCCUGUCCCCAGCCCAUCUCUUCAAGAUGUCCUAAUGGAGACUUUCUGAUUUCUCUUUUUCUGGAUUCUAGGACUUUAAAGCUUCCACAGAGCCUGGCUUUGUGCCUAACCCACAAAAAAUACCAAAUAAAUAUUUGCUGACUACGUGAAUAAAUGAAUGGAUGAAAACUGAAGCAAAAUGUGGUUUUAUUUCAUUUGAGCGCACGGCCACCGCGUCAGCUGGGUCAGAGAGCAGAGGGGCGCGUCUUCCCGGAAUCUCGGGAUCUCGGAAAUCCUCCAGCGAAGGUAGAGUCCUAACCCACAGGUUCUGCCCACCACGCGGGCCAUGUCUGCAGAUGCCCGUGGCAACGCCGGAUUAUUUAACCCAUCCCGUUUCGUCCAGCUGGUCCCUCGGCUGGAUUCAUGGAACUCAACCUUCCGACAAAUAUUUGUCUCCUCCGUUUUUUGCCCGAGUCUCUGUGCUGAGUACUUUACACGCAACUAU
This is a long non-coding RNA of Lynx canadensis (Canada lynx), 576 nucleotides long. RefSeq lists it as uncharacterized. The transcript is spliced from 3 exons. The record is from RefSeq and is a predicted model, not a curated record. NCBI's taxonomy places the organism in Eukaryota, Metazoa, Chordata, Mammalia, Carnivora, Felidae.